GACUGGCCAAAGUAAGUAGACCAUAAAAACAGCUAUAAAAGAUGUCUCGUGGUGUUUCUUUGUCUGCUUUCUGGACACCUGUAGGGUUCAACCUAGAGACGACGCCAACAUGGAGAGGGGAAGUAAUUGGAUCAUUACAUGUCAAGACACCAAAUUAAAGCUUUUUAAACAAGUUUUCUUUGUUAAAAGGUUUUUUUUUAAGUCGUAUUUUUUCUUAAAUCUUUGUUUCAUCUUCUGGCUCUUGGAGAGUUCAGACACUUUUUUCUUCCUCGCCUCCCUGUCUUUCCCCAAGGCUCUUUGUCUGUCUCUGGGUGUACGGCGCUUCCAGCCUGGGCGGGACUGCGACCGGUGAAGGCCGUUGAAUCGUUUCCAGGAGUCUCUGUGCUCUCUAACCCAAUUACCUCCUUCCCCUGUCCAAACGGAGGUGAUGAGUCUUGCUUAUCGCAGCUGCAUGCACUGAUGUUAGGAGAGUCCCCAACCCUACCUCCCCAUGGAGUGGACACUUAUGUUGUGUGAUUGUCAUGGUUCUGCCUUCUCUCUGCUUCUGCUGCUAUUUCCCCUUCAUUGUUUGCAGGUGAGUGUGUUGGGGAGCAGCAGCAGCAGCUGCAGCAGCUGCAGCUAAUUGCCAUCAGCCUGGCCAGAGGAUUUAAGGAGCGGUGCUGCCACAUCUGAACGCCGGUUGAUACUCUACUGUUGGCCCUGGAUUCCCUCCACCUGCCUGAGGUGUGAUUUAUCACAAGCGUCGUUCAGCUUCCCUGGCCUCCUGCUCUCCACCGCUCACCUGCCUUCCUGGAUCCAGCAUCACCUCCAGCGACCAUCUCCUCCCUGCAUCAACCUGACUUGCCUCUCCCUCCUGCCCCUCGUCCUGCUCAACUCAAGUCGGAGUUGCCUUGUUUCCUGUCCCGUUUGGAUCAGCGCCCUCAGUUUUUGCUUUGUUUUCUUUAUAAAAUAAAGAUUUUAUUAUCAUCUCUUACCUUAUCCCUGAGUGAUACUUCAUGUGGGUUAAGAAAUUACCACCCAUCAUGACAGUUAUGUCUGACGUCUGUUGCAUAUCUGUCUGAGGUGUUUUUUUUUUUUUGCAUAGCAAAGCUGUCCUCCCUGUAGAGGGUAACUGAAGGGCCAUUUUUUUCCUCCACCUGACCCAAUCAUCAUGUAACCCCUCUGAGCUCUAUUAAGGUGGCGUGACUCGGGUUGCGAAUGACCAAGUCACCAAUUCUUGUCAUGUGUGUAUGCCUAUGUAUGUCUGAUCUCAGAAUUGUGUGUACUGAAACUCUAAUUUCCUUC
Nothobranchius furzeri (turquoise killifish) is the source of this 1284-nucleotide long non-coding RNA. RefSeq lists it as uncharacterized. The record is from RefSeq and is a predicted model, not a curated record. Lineage: Eukaryota; Metazoa; Chordata; Actinopteri; Cyprinodontiformes; Nothobranchiidae.